Molecule: ribosomal RNA, 658 nt
Filed under: uncultured bacterium
Lineage: Bacteria
Description: bacterial SSU rRNA
Rfam family: Bacterial small subunit ribosomal RNA
Source: RNAcentral
AACGAAGGUAGCUUGCUACCAGGCGUCGAGCGGCGGACGGGUGAGUAAUGCUUAGGAAUCUACCGAGUAGUGGGGGAUAGCCAUUGGAAACGAUGAUUAAUACCGCAUAUAUCCUACGGGGGAAAGCAGGGGACCUUCGGGCCUUGCGCUAUUCGAUGAGCCUGAGUGAGAUUAGCUAGUUGGUGGGGUAAAGGCCUACCAAGGCGACGAUCUCUAGCUGGUCUGAGAGGAUGAUCAGCCACACUGGGACUGAGACACGGCCCAGACUCCUACGGGAGGCAGCAGUGGGGAAUAUUGCACAAUGGACGAAAGUCUGAUGCAGCCAUGCCGCGUGUGUGAAGAAGGCCUUCGGGUUGUAAAGCACUUUCAGCGAGGAGGAAAGGUUAGUCGUUAAUAUCGGCUAGCUGUGACGUUACUCGCAGAAGAAGCACCGGCUAAUUUAGUGCCAGCAGCCGCGGUAAUACUAAAGGUGCAAGCGUUAAUCGGAAUUACUGGGCGUAAAGCGCGCGUAGGUGGUUUGUUAAGUUGGAUGUGAAAGCCCAGGGCUCAACCUUGGAACUGCAUUCAAAACUGACUCACUAGAGUACGAGAGAGGUUAGUGGAAUUUCCUGUGUAGCGGUGAAAUGCGUAGAGAUGGGAAGGAACACCAGUGGCGAAG